This 144-nucleotide transfer-messenger RNA is filed under the name Streptococcus pneumoniae. RNAcentral describes it as "partial transfer-messenger RNA". It matches the Rfam family "transfer-messenger RNA", at positions 231 to 374 of the family's 374-position model. Rfam says of the family: Bacterial tmRNA, also known as 10Sa RNA or SsrA, is named for its dual tRNA and mRNA-like properties. Its role is to liberate the mRNA from a stalled ribosome. The record is from RNAcentral. Lineage: Bacteria; Bacillati; Bacillota; Bacilli; Lactobacillales; Streptococcaceae.
UACGGGACGUUUCCGUGACUGGGCUUGUCUGCACCAUGUCGGUGUGAGUGCAGGAGCCGAGCAAUAACGACAGCAUCGACUGCGCCCGGAGAAUGUCUGGACGGUCUUUCAAGGACGCGGGUUCAAUUCCCGCCAUCUCCACUA